GAUGAACGCUGGCGGCGUGCCUAAUACAUGCAAGUCGAGCGAACGGACGAGAAGCUUGCUUCUCUGAUGUUAGCGGCGGACGGGUGAGUAACACGUGGAUAACCUACCUAUAAGACUGGGAUAACUUCGGGAAACCGGAGCUAAUACCGGAUAAUAUUUUGAACCGCAUGGUUCAAAAGUGAAAGACGGUCUUGCUGUCACUUAUAGAUGGAUCCGCGCUGCAUUAGCUAGUUGGUAAGGUAACGGCUUACCAAGGCAACGAUGCAUAGCCGACCUGAGAGGGUGAUCGGCCACACUGGAACUGAGACACGGUCCAGACUCCUACGGGAGGCAGCAGUAGGGAAUCUUCCGCAAUGGGCGGAAGCCUGACGGAGCAACGCCGCGUGAGUGAUGAAGGUCUUCGGAUCGUAAAACUCUGUUAUUAGGGAAGAACAUAUGUGUAAGUAACUGUGCACAUCUUGACGGUACCUAAUCAGAAAGCCACGGCUAACUACGUGCCAGCAGCCGCGGUAAUACGUAGGUGGCAAGCGUUAUCCGGAAUUAUUGGGCGUAAAGCGCGCGUAGGCGGUUUUUUAAGUCUGAUGUGAAAGCCCACGGCUCAACCGUGGAGGGUCAUUGGAAACUGGAAAACUUGAGUGCAGAAGAGGAAAGUGGAAUUCCAUGUGUAGCGGUGAAAUGCGCAGAGAUAUGGAGGAACACCAGUGGCGAAGGCGACUUUCUGGUCUGUAACUGACGCUGAUGUGCGAAAGCGUGGGGAUCAAACAGGAUUAGAUACCCUGGUAGUCCACGCCGUAAACGAUGAGUGCUAAGUGUUAGGGGGUUUCCGCCCCUUAGUGCUGCAGCUAACGCAUUAAGCACUCCGCCUGGGGAGUACGACCGCAAGGUUGAAACUCAAAGGAAUUGACGGGGACCCGCACAAGCGGUGGAGCAUGUGGUUUAAUUCGAAGCAACGCGAAGAACCUUACCAAAUCUUGACAUCCUUUGACAACUCUAGAGAUAGAGCCUUCCCCUUCGGGGGACAAAGUGACAGGUGGUGCAUGGUUGUCGUCAGCUCGUGUCGUGAGAUGUUGGGUUAAGUCCCGCAACGAGCGCAACCCUUAAGCUUAGUUGCCAUCAUUAAGUUGGGCACUCUAAGUUGACUGCCGGUGACAAACCGGAGGAAGGUGGGGAUGACGUCAAAUCAUCAUGCCCCUUAUGAUUUGGGCUACACACGUGCUACAAUGGACAAUACAAAGGGCAGCGAAACCGCGAGGUCAAGCAAAUCCCAUAAAGUUGUUCUCAGUUCGGAUUGUAGUCUGCAACUCGACUACAUGAAGCUGGAAUCGCUAGUAAUCGUAGAUCAGCAUGCUACGGUGAAUACGUUCCCGGGUCU
This 1372-nucleotide ribosomal RNA is filed under the name uncultured bacterium. RNAcentral's name for it is "bacterial SSU rRNA". It matches the Rfam family "Bacterial small subunit ribosomal RNA", at positions 28 to 1381 of the family's 1533-position model. The record is from RNAcentral.